RNAcentral lists this small nuclear RNA (113 nucleotides) under Sciurus vulgaris (Eurasian red squirrel). Lineage: Eukaryota; Metazoa; Chordata; Mammalia; Rodentia; Sciuridae. The record is from RNAcentral.
GUGUGCUUCAGCUGCACAUAUACUAAAAUUGGAAUGACACAGAGAAGAUUAGCACGGCCCCUGCACAAGGAUGACAUGCUGACAUGCAAAUUCAUGAAGUGUUUCAUAUUUUU